GAAAUAUAUGGAUAUGAUGGGCAGAACUUCAUCUUCUUUGACAAGGAUACUCCCACCUGGAAUGCAACUGAUCCUGUGUCUCAAGAAACUAAGAGGAGGUGGAAUGCUGAUCUAGAAAGGAAGAAGAACACUAAGCAAUUCCUGGAAGAGACCUGCAUUAAACGGCUUCAGAAAUCAGUGGCCUAUGGGAAGGAGUCCCUGCUGAGGAAAGAGGCCCCUGUGGUGAAGGUGAUACACAAGACAGCUUCUGAUGGCCAGGAAACCCUCAUCUGUCAGGCCUUUGGCUUCUACCCCAAGGAGAUUGAUAUCAGCUGGAGGAAGAAUGGAACAGUCUGGGUGCAGGACGUCAUCCAUAGUGAUAUUUUCCCUAAUUCGGAUGGGACCUAUUACACCUGGAGCAAGAUCCCCAUUGUCCCCAAAGAGAAGGACCACUACCACUGCCAUGUGGAGCCUGCUGGGACCUCUGGACCUCAGCCUCUGGGCAGAGACUGGUAGGAGGCUUCAGAGUGACAGAGAAAGAGAGUAAACAGCAAAGAAAGAAAACUCAAGCAAAACAAAAAUGUGCGAACAAAUCCACUGCUUUUGAAUGUUCUGAGUUGAAUGUAAUUCCAAUCCAAAAAGGGUGUUGCAAAGGAAACACAAGGAAGAAGUACCCUCAACAUGUAAAAAUCUUACCUAGUACAUC
Molecule: long non-coding RNA, 685 nt
Organism: Hemicordylus capensis (graceful crag lizard)
Lineage: Eukaryota; Metazoa; Chordata; Lepidosauria; Squamata; Cordylidae
Exons: 3
Source: RefSeq, a predicted model, not a curated record